Mus musculus (house mouse) is the source of this 3809-nucleotide long non-coding RNA. RefSeq annotates it as predicted gene, 35476. The record is from RefSeq and is a predicted model, not a curated record. The transcript is spliced from 3 exons. NCBI's taxonomy places the organism in Eukaryota, Metazoa, Chordata, Mammalia, Rodentia, Muridae.
CCGGCUAGUCUAGGGACCCGCGGGGGCUGCCCGCGGGCGGCGCGUGGAGGGCGACGCCUGAUCGCCGCCACGGUUCCAGUCCCGUGUCCCUGUGGCUGCGCAGGGCGGAGCGCCAGGGGUGGGAAUUGUGUGGGGAUCGAAGGGAGCGGAGAGUGAGGGACCCUAAAGGAGAGAAGAGCGGAGAGGACAUGGAGAGCAGACGGGAGGACCGAAGAAGAGAGUGGAGGAUCCCGAGAAAAAAAGUGCAGAAGAGAGAAGAACCUUAGUAAAAAGAGUGGGGACCCGGAAGAGAGCUGGGGCGGAGAGGGAACACAGCUGUGUUCUCUGCCCUCUCAUGAGCUUGGCAGAAUUCUUUCCUAAGAGGAUAACUCAGACAUUUUCCAAGGGUUCGUCCAGGUUUCUCCAUCCUGAGAAAAUUCAAGACAUCUCACUGAUGAGCUCAGUGGUAACAGGCACUACAGGGCUGACCCUGAGACAAGAGUUCUGAUAAAUACAAUUGCGUCCAUGAACGGUAAAGGAUCUUUUGGCUGCUCAUUAUGGAGCUCAGUCUGGCCUGGAACUCAGCUCCUUUCUCAGCCCCCUGGAAACCCAGGUGGCAUACUUGCUGUUUUCUGGGAAGUUUAGGAAGACCUAUGCUCUCUCUGCCCAUCAUCUGACAGCCAGCCAGAUUGAAGGAUGGAUGUCACGGGGCCCUGGACCACAUGGGCCACAGUUCAUAAAUGCUCCCAUUACAUCUUGUACAGAUGAUGGGUCUGUGGUCGUGAGAACUCAGGAUCACCAGGAAAGACAGCAGCUUCAUCCUGAGGCUCUAAAACCUGAAGACGGUCUAAGGCAAACGCAACAAGGGUAGUAGUGCUUGAUGCAAAGGCUUUGAAGCCAGGCUGGGCCUUUCUCUCUGCCUGGGGUUGGUGGCAUGUGUGCUGAAGAUGUGACACAUUGAAGCAGGUUGGAACCAAGUGAUCUGCCAGAGCGUGCUGGGGUGGGCUAUGAUGACUGGACAGGACAAGUGUGUACAGUAACAUGUAUGUGGAGGUCAGAGUACAACUUUGGGUGUCGUUCCUCACCUUACACCUGGAGACAGGGUCUCUUGUUUGACACUGCUAACUUAGGCUGGGCUAGCUGGUUUGUAAGCGUCCAGUAAUUCUCAUCUCUGCUUCCUGUCUUGCAUAAGGCACACAGGACUACAGCGGUAAACUACUGCAUCUGGCAUUACACGGGUCCUGGGGGUCUGAACUCAGGUCCUACCACUUGCACGGCAAGCAUCUUACCUACUAAGCCAUACAGAGCUCAUCACUUACCCUGCAUUCCUGUGCCUCCAGAGACUCCCUCAUUCCUGCUGCCAGGAGGACACUGGUCUAAAAGUACUCACUAUGAAGUGAACAUCACUGCCUGAUGAACCCCUAGAAUGGCCCCCAAGGAGCCAUCCAGAAAGGCCCUCAAGUCUCCUGUAUUCCCCAGGCAGUUGCAUGAGUGCAGGCGAUUUGCGAAUUAAUACUGGCAUGGGCCUUUCUGGAAAGCUCUAGCCAGCUGACUGCAGAGUAAGUGUGGAAACUGUCUUCUCUCGGAAGCAAGCAUGGGGCUGGACUUUAGAUGCCCGAGGAAAGGGAACACAAGAGUAAACUCUUGAGGUGAGUGGACACGGCACCUCUGGGACCACUGUCAACACCAGAGGAGCAUCCCCUGUGCAGGAUACUGUGAGGGACCAUGUCAGCCUUUCCGCCUCCUGUCCCUGGCACAAACUGGGCUCUGUCCCAAAAGGCAGACUAUCUGAAGUGAGGUGAGGGGUCCUAAAGGGACAGCUCAGCCUGGAGGUCCGAGUGAGCAAUCAGAACCAGGCACCCCAGUGCACAAGCCACACCAAAGAGGCAAGAACAGCAAAGAGAAAGACAGCAGGGAACCACGUUGCCCAAAGGGCCACAGUUUGCUUCGAGAAGCCUUCGGACAGGGGUGGGAGGAGGGUCACACUGGAAGCUGACUCCUCAGAACCAGUGGGAAGCUGCCUAGUGUCCUGGUCUUGGCCAAGUCAAGGCAGCUGGUGUCCAUUACAUCGGCUUUGAUUUAUAGUCAAGCCCACAGGCCCUCAGCUCACAACAUUGUGACCUAAGACAGCAGCUUUCUCUUUAGUACCCUGGCACCUGGGUACAGUCACAUGCCUCCAGGUCCUGCUGUCAGUGGUUCUUGGCUGACGCUAGUUCUCAGGGAGUGAGCAGGUGCUGUGUGGGUCCUCCUGAGUCUGCCCAAGGGACACCCCAACCUCUGCCUCGCCCUCAGUGGCUGUCUUGCUGAGUAACUUUUGCUUUCUUUUUAGCAGGAAGAAACCCACAUGGGAAUCCCCAACAAUCACAGUGACUCACCCAUUUCCCAGCCAGUGAGUGAAAUGAGUCCCCAGGAUGUCACCCAAUUCUGUACUGGUGGGUGGGGCAGUGAGAGCACCUCCCAUUCUCUUGAUCUGGUCUAAUUCUGGUACACACUCUACAGACCAGCCCCUCUCAUCCCCUCCCCCAAAGAGUGCACAUAAAAUCUCCAAGUAGAAAAGUCUAAAGUGACAUUUUUGUGGCAGCAGGUGUUGUACUGGUAGGCUAUGGUUAAGGUUGUUAUGGCAACGAUGGUCUCUGGCUCUGUUGCCUUUAAGGUCUGUGGGCACAGUUGCCAAUGAGAUCUUUGGUGGAUGUGGGUGAGGGAAGGUCUGGAGCAUGGAGCACACCUGCAUUUUGCCCUGAGGGAGCAGAUGCUCUCAGCGAAUGAGCUUACGUUCAGGCUAGCUUCUCAGGCUCCUCGGGGCUCUCAGGAAACACCUCCUCCCACUGGUAAAGAAGGCUCCACAGGUGUGGACUCACUACCGUGAAUAAGCCCCAAAGGCUCCAGGAAGCUACGUGACCCAGCAGUUGCCUGAACUUCAGCAGAAGAGGACAACUUUGCUGUCCUAUGGGUGGGAUUCCUGAUUCAGUUAGGGGAAUUCCAACUUCCACAGGAGCAAGGGUGUGCAGUCAAUGUGGUUGGAUCAGCAGUGCCUGCUGCAAGCAGCUCUUGUCCCAGAACAGUUUUCAUAGCUGCAGGAUCUCACUUGGACUCCCUCGGCUCCCAGAAUCCUUGCAAUCUUCAUUAAACUGCUACCAGAGUUAUUAGGGUCAGAGCCUGUUUUGGCAUCCCGAACAAGCCCUGCUCAAUCAUUUGUCCUCAAUAAGCUAAUCAGAGGUGAACUUUACCAGUGAAAAGCAGAAAAGAUCUAUUCAAUGUAUCCAUACUAGAAAGAAAAACAAAGAGAUUCAAUGACACAGCCUUCACCAUAUCUACCUUCCAGCUCCUGGAUGAAGUAAUUAACUUCAAGUAGAGGCUGGAGGUAUGCAUCACUAAGUAGGCUGGGUCAAGGUGUGGUCCUGUCCAUCACUGACCCAUCAUUGUCUGAGCUCGGCUAGCCUGCAAGAUGGCCUGAAGCUGCACAUCUCUUCCCAGGAGACAAGUUUCUUCCUCGGUUGGCCCCAGGCUUCAGCCUUCUUUCUCCUUCUGAGACUCCUGGAGAAUAAUUAAAUUUCCUGGGGUACAUUGUUUCAAGAGACUGGUUGCCAAAGAGAAGAGCAUAAGUAUCUCUUAAAGUCAGUUACAGAAUGAAUGCAGGCAAGACACAGAGGGUAGAGUGCAGAGGUGUCCAUCCUUCCACACUGUGAUAUAACAGCUACAAAUGUUGGGAUGCUAUCCUGGGAUACAUGCUGUGGGUUGGACACCCCUGAUGGUGAGCUCUAAAUACUUUGUGUGUAUAUACAUAUAUGUGUAUGGUGUUGUUUAUAUGUGGUUAUGUGUGUAGCGUGUGU